UGAGGAAUUUUGCGCAUUGGGCGAAAGCCUGACGCAGCGACGCCGCGUGGAGGAAGACGGCCUUCGGGUUGUAAACUCCUGUCAGAGGUGAAGAACGCCCGCAAGGGCUUGACGGUAACCUCAGAGGAAGCCCCGGCUAACUACGUGCCAGCAGCCGCGGUAAUACGUAGGGGGCGGGCGCUGCUCGGAAUUACUGGGCGUAAAGGGAGUGCAGGCGGCCGGUUAAGUCGAAGAUGAAAUCCCGAGGCUCAACUUCGGAACGGUCUUCGAUACUGAUCGGCUUAAGGCUAAUUGAGGAGAGCGGAAUUCCCGGUGGAGCGGUGAAAUGCGUAGAUAUCGGGAGGAACACCAGAGGCGAAGGCGGCUCUCUAAACUAGUCCUGACGCUGAGACUCGAAAGCUAGGGGAGCAAACGG
Molecule: ribosomal RNA, 415 nt
Filed under: uncultured bacterium
Lineage: Bacteria
Description: bacterial SSU rRNA
Rfam family: Bacterial small subunit ribosomal RNA
Source: RNAcentral